RNAcentral lists this ribosomal RNA (253 nucleotides) under uncultured bacterium. RNAcentral describes it as "partial 16S ribosomal RNA". It matches the Rfam family "Bacterial small subunit ribosomal RNA", at positions 524 to 776 of the family's 1533-position model. The record is from RNAcentral.
UACGGGGGGGGCUAGCGUUGUUCGGAAUUACUGGGCGUAAAGGGCGCGUAGGCGGUCUGCUAAGUUGGAUGUGAAAACUCUGGGCUUAACCCAGAGCCUGCAUUCAAUACUGACAGGCUAGAGUUCUGGAGGGGAUAGCGGAAUUCCUGGUGUAGCGGUGAAAUGCGUAGAUAUCAGGAGGAACACCGGUGGCGAAGGCGGGUCUCUGGGCCGAUACUGACGCUGAGGAGCGAAAGCGUGGGGAGCGAACAGG